Molecule: ribosomal RNA, 465 nt
Filed under: Vreelandella stevensii
Lineage: Bacteria; Pseudomonadati; Pseudomonadota; Gammaproteobacteria; Oceanospirillales; Halomonadaceae
Description: partial 16S ribosomal RNA
Rfam family: Bacterial small subunit ribosomal RNA
Source: RNAcentral
CCUACGGGCGGCAGCAGUGGGGAAUAUUGGACAAUGGGCGAAAGCCUGAUCCAGCCAUGCCGCGUGUGUGAAGAAGGCCUUCGGGUUGUAAAGCACUUUCAGUGGGGAAGAAAGCCUUGGGGCUAAUACCCUCGAGGAAGGACAUCACCCACAGAAGAAGCACCGGCUAACUCCGUGCCAGCAGCCGCGGUAAUACGGAGGGUGCGAGCGUUAAUCGGAAUUACUGGGCGUAAAGCGCGCGUAGGCGGUCUGAUAAGCCGGUUGUGAAAGCCCCGGGCUCAACCUGGGAACUGCAUCCGGAACUGUCAGGCUAGAGUGCAGGAGAGGAAGGUAGAAUUCCCGGUGUAGCGGUGAAAUGCGUAGAGAUCGGGAGGAAUACCAGUGGCGAAGGCGGCCUUCUGGACUGACACUGACGCUGAGGUGCGAAAGCGUGGGUAGCAAACAGGAUUAGAUACCCGUGUAGUC